CAACACCAAGAUCUCUUCAUCUGACUGCACUUGGGCACUUCAUGCCAUUUGAGAAGCAUCUCAGACAGUGUGCCAGGCAUCCCCAUCAGGCUGGCAGUGUGCCUUGGUCUGAAAUCCCUCAUCCGAGAAACCAGUUCACAUUUUCCCACACCUCUACUUCUGAACGGAAGGGAGAAUAAAGAAUGAAAAAUGGAUGGGAAAAGUAAAUGGACACCACUGAAUAUGGACCACAGCUUUAAAUCACUUUGAUGCCAGUCUCUACUUGAAGUUAAAGCCUCUAACAAGUGACACUGUAUUUCUUUUUUUUUUUUAUGUCAACAUUUUGUCAUUGAAUCAGACAAUUUCACUGAGCAUAUGUGCAAAGGGUAUCUUCUAAGUUUUCCCUGUUCAACUGACAACUUC
Molecule: long non-coding RNA, 402 nt
Filed under: Gallus gallus (chicken)
Lineage: Eukaryota; Metazoa; Chordata; Aves; Galliformes; Phasianidae
Source: RNAcentral